Molecule: long non-coding RNA, 3000 nt
Organism: Mercenaria mercenaria
Lineage: Eukaryota; Metazoa; Mollusca; Bivalvia; Venerida; Veneridae
Exons: 3
Source: RefSeq, a predicted model, not a curated record
GUUGCGCCACCUCGAGAAGAUGCAGAAGCUGCACCAUUAUCUGGCCCAGAAGUAAUAACUACACAGCCUUCAGCCGAUACAGAGGCACCACCCCAGGAAGCAGACCUGGGGUCAAUUACUUCAAAAUAUCCCCGAGUAUGUGAAAUUGAAUGGUUCAUGUCUGACACUGAGAACUGUCGAACUGCCAGCCAGAUUCAACAGCGCGCUGCUGAGCUACCUGGGGGAAGAACAAAAAAUGUCCGCAUGGGGGUUAUGAAGAAGGCUAAGAAGUGCCAUGUUUUUGAUGUGGAUGUAGAGGCAGCAAUAGGCACAAGACCACAGUUAUUUGCCCUUGGUUGACCACAAUACGGAAGUGGUUACGCGGAAAAUAGUUCCUCUGUUUGAUGGUGAAUAUUGGUGAAUUUUUGAGUGAAAGACCUGCAAUAAAUGGCAUGAUCUAAUAGAGAAGAUAUGAAAUAGUAGGUACAUGUACAAUUUGACAGAAUGCAAAUGUCAGAAUAUGCAUAACAUGACUUUUUGAUAGGGCCUGUUUUGCCUGUUUGCGGCCAUCUAGAGAGUAUUCUUCAUACGCAUGUGAUUUGGUUCAAAAUGGUGGAAAAAAGAGCCGGUCAACCCAAUGUUUACUGUGGCUGGAAUUAUUUCUCUUGGAUAGUUCUGUUGAGUUCAGGUAUUUUUAUAGGGGUUGGAAUGCAUGCAAAAUUGCUAUAGUGUCCAGUGCCUAUAUAGAACAUAUAGUAAAAAUAACUGUGGUCUUAGGCCUGAUAUAGUGGAAAAUGUCAGAAAGUAAAUUGUCAAUAUUUUUGUUAUUUUUCAAUCUACAUGGCUGAAAUUUUGACAGUGAAUGGCUGGUAGGCAUAGAAAUCUGGUAAAUAUUUAGAUUAAUCAUUACAUUUGCUGAAAUUGCUUCAGUUUGGAUAAAAAGUAUACAUGCACUUGAAACUUGUGAAAAAUCCUACUUUCAGUUUACAUAUUUCUGGAUUUUUUCUAAUUUUGCAGGUUUUCUUGCAUGAAAUGCAUUUUUAUAAGUUCUUUGUUUGAAUACGGUAUGCGGAAAACAAAAUGGGGUAUUACAAAUGCCGCGAUGUGAUAUUUUUUGAUUUUUUAGAAAUUUGAGCUGCGACUGAGGAAAUCUGAUCUAAAGUCAGAUAUGUAUUUUUUUCUAUUCUUGUUUACAUAAAAUUGCUCUUUUGGUUACUUGAAUUUACACAGUACACACAGUCUGAAUAGUGAAAUAUGUGUAAUCAUAAUCUGUGCAAGAAAAAUCAGUUCAAGGGCUUGAAAAUUGGACAGAUUAGGCCUGAAAUUGGCAUAUUUUAAUUGAUUUUGAAGGAAAACAGGCAGAUUUUCACACACUAGACUUGCAUAUUGGUUUCCUUAAUGCUUAAUUGAGCAUAAAUCAUCAUAGCUGAGGUCCUGAAUUGUAUAUUUACUUAUUCUGUUGGAUUUCUUACACUUUUAGUACCUAAAAACCUGAAAUGACAGCGCUCGGACAAUGUGAAGUUUGUCGCAUAAUCGGGGAUUGACCGCCUUUGUACAUAUAUGUCUACAGCUUCUCAGAUUUGACCGAAGACAGUUGUUCGGUGUUGUGAAUGGAUGUUGUUCGGCCGAAGGCCUUCCAGUCACACAGAAGAUCCUGGUUCGGUCACACGAAGGGUCACUUCCAUUGAUAUUAGUCACAGGAAAAAUUAGGAGCACCAGUUGUAUUUUCUCAAGUUGAUAUUUAUUUAGGUUUUUGCUGAAAUUAAGCCAGUUUGGAACAUUCAGCAGGCAGUGAUGUACAUUAAAAUCAUUCUUUAUAGAGAUAGGGGCUGUUUUGCCAGAAUGCUCAACUGUGAUACACAAUGUAAGAUUUUGUGCAGUGUAAAUGGUCAUGGUGUGCAUGUUUCAUUUACAGAGUGCACUGAAUGCCUGUAAACUGUAAGAUUUGAGUGAAAUAUUCAUUCCAGAAAGACUCAUAAGCUUUUUAGUAAGCUCACAUAUUGGAUUUUUCAGAGCUGUUUGGCUCAUUUUACCUAGGGUAGCCAUAAAUGAAUGAUCACUGAAAAGUAUAUGACACAUAUAUGUACAAAAGCUAUUCAUUCUCAUAUUUGCCACAUACUGGGCUGCUUAAAAAGGGCAAAUUUGACAGCUACAGGAUUUUUCUUAGUUCACAUUUGACUUUUUCGUGUGAGUAGACUCCGCGUUUUGACGUGCUUUUUGUAAUAUGAAUAGUUUUCCUUAAAAUUGGAACAGUGAUAUUGUAAUCAGACUUGAAGUGGCUCUUAAUUUGGAUAGAUGUAUAUUAAGGAAACAUGCUGUUUUUUAUUUUGGGUGAAAAUCUCAUCAAACAAAAAAGUUAUAGAAUUUUGCGUUUUUUUCAUCUGAAAAGUACGCGAACUUUUUUUUUGCUUAGAUUUGACAGAUACCAUGUGUAACAUUGGAAGCUGUCAAAUUUUAGUGCAUAGUUCAACAAAGGUGUAACUUUCAGAUUUAAUUUGCUAUACAUCUGAGAUUAUACUGGUAAAAUAUUUUUUAGUUUGGAGAGAAAAAUAGGUCUAAAUAGGCACAAGACCACAGUUAUUUGCCCUUGGUUGACCACAAUACGGAAGUGGUUAUGCGGAAAAAUAGUUCCUCUGUUUGAUGGUGAAUAUUGGUGAAUUUUUGAGUGAAAGACCUGCAAUAAAUGGCAUGAUUUAAUAGAAGAGAUAUGAAAUAGUAGGUACAUGUACAAUUUGACAGAAUGCAAAUGUCAGAAUAUGCAUAACAUGACUUUUUGAUAGGGCCUGUUUUGCCUGUUUGCGGCCAUCUAGAGAGUAUUCUUCAUACGCAUGUGAUUUGGUUCAAAAUGGUGGAAAAAAGAGCCGGUCAACCCAAUGUUUACUGUGGCUGGAAUUAUUUCUCUUGGAUAGUUCUGUUGAGUUCAGGUAUUUUUAUAGGGGUUGGAAUGCAUGCAAAAUUGCUAUAGUGUCCAGUGCCUAUAUAGAACAUAUAGUAAAAAUAACUGUGGUCUUAGGCCAGCAG